CAAUCUAUUUCUUCUCCCUUUGACCACUACAUGAAAUUUUUUUGUAUUUUCUUCCUCAUCUUUGAACUAUUGCAACUCUUCUUUCUUCUUCCAGAACUCUUCCUCUCUUCUAAGUUGAACAUUCACUUCUACUUGAGCCUUGAACAAAGCUUCCCUAUUUUUCCCAGAUGGAGAGAUUUCAAAUUGGUGCUCCCUGACUUUGAUGAUAU
This 209-nucleotide long non-coding RNA is filed under the name Capsicum annuum. RNAcentral describes it as "long non-coding RNA (CANN_LNC008212)". Lineage: Eukaryota; Viridiplantae; Streptophyta; Magnoliopsida; Solanales; Solanaceae. The record is from RNAcentral.